Small nuclear RNA from Mustela putorius furo (domestic ferret), 107 nucleotides. The record is from Ensembl. Lineage: Eukaryota; Metazoa; Chordata; Mammalia; Carnivora; Mustelidae.
GUGCUCACUUGAGCAGCACAUAUACUAAAAUUUGAACAACACAGAGAGGAUUAGCAUGGCCCCCGCACAAAGAUGACACACAACUUCAUGAAACAUUUAAAAAAAAA